UAACGGCCGUUCUGGCAGUCCAAUCAAGUCGACUGUGGAGAUUUGAAAGUACACUUCCGUCCGCCUUUUUUUUCCGUUGGAAAUGCAAGAUGCAGGCGACUUCAGACACCGAGACAAUAGCUGACGGCCCAGGACUUGUGUCCACAUCUGUCCAAGUUCUUGCCACUGUAUUCAAAAAUGAAAAAGAGUGCACACGAAAGAUAUACAAUGUUCACAAUCUUGAACAACUGGUUAACAAUAGCCUUUCAGAGCAACCAGGGUUUGAAUUUGACAGAGUCCUGAAAUACCACACUGAUUUCCAAGAAUUUGUGGAUGUAGACAGAUGUGUGGCUAUAAAGAACUUGGACAGAUUCCAGAUCUUCAUGGUAAAGGCAGAAGCACCAGCCCAGACAAAUUCUGGCAACAUGUGUCAAACAGAGUGUGCCUACAGCCUGCAGCCUUUACUAGAGAAAAAAGCUCCU
Molecule: long non-coding RNA, 461 nt
Organism: Eleginops maclovinus (Patagonian blennie)
Lineage: Eukaryota; Metazoa; Chordata; Actinopteri; Perciformes; Eleginopidae
Exons: 3
Source: RefSeq, a predicted model, not a curated record